AUCGAAAUGUAUAUCUCCUUUGGCAU
RNAcentral lists this non-coding RNA (26 nucleotides) under Cricetulus griseus (Chinese hamster). The record is from RNAcentral. Lineage: Eukaryota; Metazoa; Chordata; Mammalia; Rodentia; Cricetidae.